Molecule: long non-coding RNA, 392 nt
Filed under: Manihot esculenta (cassava)
Lineage: Eukaryota; Viridiplantae; Streptophyta; Magnoliopsida; Malpighiales; Euphorbiaceae
Description: long non-coding RNA (MESC_LNC012033)
Source: RNAcentral
CAGAUUUUCCGUUAACCGGUAAACUUCAACCUCCAUACCAAAAUUACCGUUUCGUCCUUCAAUCUCGAAGGCCCACUCUUUCUUUCUCUUCGCCCUCAGCCUCUCGGCCUUGGCGAACUCCUCAACUUUCUGGACCAAUUUUUCCGGUGACUCGGAAGACACGAAACGGUCACCGUCCUCCACCGCGUUGUACGAGUCAUCGAACAACCCGGACAAAUCCAAACCGGAUGAGAAAGAAAUGAGGUCGAAGGCGUUCAAAUUCGUGACAUCCGGUUCUUGUUUAUCGGUCUUAUCGGUAUCGUCAAUUCCAACAUAAUCAUCGUAGAACUUGAUCUCUUUGAGUCCUCCUCUCUUGAACCACGGAUCUUUCAAGAUCUCAUCGACCGUUAUUC